RNAcentral lists this ribosomal RNA (373 nucleotides) under Caccobius brevis. RNAcentral's name for it is "partial 16S ribosomal RNA". The record is from RNAcentral. Lineage: Eukaryota; Metazoa; Arthropoda; Insecta; Coleoptera; Scarabaeidae.
AUCGUGCAAAGGUAGCAUAAUAAUUAGUUUUUUAAUUGAGAACUGGUAUGAAAGGUUGAACGAGAAAAAGACUGUCUCAAUUUAAAUUUAAUUAGAAUUUUAUUUUUAAGUAAAAAAGCUUAAAUAGUUUUAAAAGACGAGAAGACCCUAUAGAGUUUUAUAUUUAUUAUUAUUAUUAUUUAGUUUAAGAAUUUAAUUUUAGAAUUAUUUAAUAAGUAUUUAGUUGGGGUGACUAUAAAAUUAAAUUAACUUUUUUUAUUUAUUUUACAUUGAUAUAUGAUUAAUUGAUCCAUAUUUAUAUGAUUAAAAGAUUAAAUUACCUUAGGGAUAACAGCGUAAUUUUUUUUGAGAGUUCUUAUCGAAAAAAAAGUUU